GGUUAGAUAAGUCAAAUAAGGCUAUUGGGCUCAUGACCCAAAAGUGGAAACAAUCCUUUAACCU
RNAcentral lists this transfer RNA (64 nucleotides) under Pectinaria gouldii. RNAcentral describes it as "tRNA-Met". The record is from RNAcentral. Lineage: Eukaryota; Metazoa; Annelida; Polychaeta; Terebellida; Pectinariidae.